This 492-nucleotide ribosomal RNA is filed under the name uncultured bacterium. RNAcentral describes it as "partial 16S ribosomal RNA". It matches the Rfam family "Bacterial small subunit ribosomal RNA", at positions 28 to 507 of the family's 1533-position model. The record is from RNAcentral.
GAUGAACGCUAGCUACAGGCCUAACACAUGCCAGUCGAGGGGAAACGACAUCGAAAGCUUGCUUUUGAUGGGCGUCGACCGGCGCACGGGUGAGUAACGCGUAACCCACCUGCUCAUCACUUGGGGAUAACCUUGCGAAAGUAAGACUAAUACCCAAUGAUAUCUCUAGAAGACAUCUGAAAGAGAUUAAAGAUUUAUCGGUGAUGGAUGGGGAUGCGUCUGAUUAGCUUGUUGGCGGGGUAACGGCCCACCAAGGCAACGAUCAGUAGGGGUUCUGAGAGGAAGGUCCCCCACAUUGGAACUGAGACACGGUCCAAACUCCUACGGGAGGCAGCAGUAUGGAAUAUUGGUCAAUGGGCGAGAGCCUGAACCAGCCAAGUAGCGUGCAGGAAGACGGCCCUAUGGGUUGUAAACUGCUUUUAGAAGGGAAUAAAGUGAGAGUCGUGACUCUUUUUGUAUGUACCUUAUGAAUAAGGACCGGCUAAUUCCGUG